AUUUGAAAUAACCGCAAAAAUGAUACUUUAGUACGACGUCGACAAAUGUGUUGGACGGAUUCUUCUUCGAAUGAUACGACUCGCUGGUGGAUUAAAAAUCCAACGAGAAAAAUCAUGCCGUGUUGUCUCCAAACGCUACGACCUCCCUGUUUAGAAUCUUGGCAAAGGUGUGUCUUGCAAGAACUCUCUCGAAUAACGCAACUUGACGAUGGAUCGGAAAGCCAACAAGAAAGAUCGUGCCGUUUUGUCUCCAAACGAUAUCACCUCCGGUGAGUUGAAUAAUCAUUUGUUUCACACAGUGUGGCUGAAUGGCAGAGAAGGGAAGGAGGAAGAACAACGAGUAUCAAAAUAUAACCAUUUAAUUAGAAUUUUACUAACUUUCGGUAUAAAGACCUAGAAUACAAGAUUUCCACCUAUAUAAUUAUAGGUAUGUCUUGGUUGUGUGUCGUAUGUGUGUGUGUUGCGACACUAAAUUUUAAUUUAAAAGGUACUCUAUAAACGCAUCACAGCUCUCGUGACACAUCGCACAGUCAUGUAAACUCCAUUGUCACAUAUCGCGUGUAUCGUAUUCACCUAGGUAACUCUUUUAACAAGCUAUUCGACGGCAAUACAAUCGAAGAAAAAACUUAACGUGAUCGAGAUUCGUUCACCGCCCUGGUAACGACCAACGUUGACUCGCGGUAAAAACUUGUGAUUGCGGCAGUGAUUAAUCGGCACGAAUCGAAAUCCGAGGAGACGAUGUGUAUUGCAUAUAUGUAUGGUGCAUAUAAUGUAAAAUGUACCCUGAGAAUAAAAAUACUUGAAAAUUUGUAGAGUAUAAAGUUUAUUUCACAGAAAUAUUUCUGUGAAAUAAACUUUAUACUCUACAAAUUUUCAAGUAUUUUUUCUCAACACAUAUAUAUGAGAAUGAUUUAUACGCACUGGGAGAAACUACUUGAACACUUACUUAUGGGAUAUAUAAAGUUUAAUUCUGUGAAAUAAAAUUUAUUUUUGUGAGUAAACUUUAUAUCCCACAAAUAAAUUUUCAAGUGUUUUUUUCUUAGUAUAUGUAUGUAAAAGUGAUGUACAUACACUGAGAGAGAGAAAGAGAAAAAGAAGAAUUACUUGAAUAUUUAUCUGUGGGAUAUAAAAUUUAUUUCUAUGAAUAAACUUUAUAUCCCGCAAAUAAAUUUCCAAAUAUUACUUUCUCAGUGCAAACUGGCUAGAUUUUCUAGAUGUUCGACCCUUUGUAACAAGUAGAACUUGUAGAAUUUAAGUAGAAAAAUCCUCCGCUAUUUUGUAGAGGAACUACGCGACAAUUAUCGAAAUAUUAACAAAAAAAAUUGAUCAAUCUACGCGCACGAUGCGGUGGGAUAAAGACUGCUAUGCAGAGCGAUCUAAAAACACGCAUCUCGAAUUAGUUUCCGUUUCAAGCUAUGUGUUUGCAAAUAGCACUACAGAGCUGGAGUUAACUCGUCAACGUCGUCGUCGCUCAUCGGGCGGAUUUUAAAACGAGUACACAUUCCGAUCCUGAACGACGCGAGGAUCAAGGAGAUGUCGUCGAGAGAGAUCUAGAGGACGGCCCGGUUCAUUAAACAUCCUCCCGACGUUUCUUAGGCUCUCUCGUGUCGCUCGGGCAUCAACUUGACAUUUGAUCAAGUAACAGAUGGCUUCUGGUUAAAAUUGACUUCCCUCCGCGAACGAAUCCGACGCGCUCUCUACCUCUUUCGCGCUGACAGAAUUUCGUAUUAAAAAACAUUGUUAUAUAAAAUAGAAAUGUAUAUCGGCCGGGAGUAUUCGAAGCAGAGUACUCGAUCUCCUCCGUUGACUCGACGAGGAGAGUUAACGUACAACCGCCUCGGAAAGUGUCGGAGUAUAGGAUUCGAGGAUAAUAGGCUCUCUACAUGCGCUACGUUUCAGUGCGUUUGCUUCACCUCCAGCAAUUGGGGAUAAUUCUCCACAAUGUUCAGCAGGAUCCCGUCGAUGUACGUUCUCAACUGUGUAUUCACUUCUUGCUGUUCCUUCAAUGCCUGCUUCAUCUGCAAUACAAUAACAAUGAUUUACUCAGAGUUGCUCUGAGAACGCAGCGAUUGGUGAAAUUUCGGACUAACUUUUUUACUUCAUUUGAUUCAACUUGAUUUCAUCCGAUUUAACUUGUGAUACAUACCUCAGCCAUCGUGCACAGUUCGCCGAAUUCCUCGAAUCUUUGGCCGUCUAUCUGUGAAACGAUUAGAAAGUCGGCGUUAAUGAGGUGGUUAUUCGCGAUCGCUAACCAGUCACUGUAUCAAACGACGAUAGCGCCAGUAGUACAAUGGAUUAGCAGGUGACUCAUUAUGCUCUAUUCACCACUAAUCGAUAAAUUGUUAUAGAAAAUUAGACUUUCUAAUCGAUCUGACAUUACGACAAGGAUAGAGUACCUGAUCUGGAUUCAUGCCGGCUAACAGCUCUACGGCGAGACUAGGUCCCUUCUCGGCGCUGUUAUUGCAAGGAUUUAACAUUAAAAGUUCACGACCUGCUUGCAACGCUGCAGCGGCCUGUAGUUCGUCCCGAGAUUCUUCCAAACCUGCGAAAUCAUGUGCAAGAUGUUACAACAUGAUCAGCUAUCAAGAAGAUAAGUUAAUCUUUCUACUGUGUUAAAUUGCAUGAUUUACUACUAGGCAAUAUAACCUUAUGUAAUUACAGAUUAGAAAUUUAUUUCAACUUCAUCACUUCGUCGAAAUUUGGUUUUGAUUUUAAAAGUCACAAAUUUAUUUUAAUUUUAAAAGCCAUAGAUAUUUUAUAUUUAUUUAUAUCCAUUCAUUUGUCAUCACAAUUGUAUUCAUUUAGUUCUUGUUAAUGUAAGCUACGUGUUUCACAGCAAAAAUAUCCGAACGUCAAUAGAAAUCAGAGGAGAGGCUCGCGUUAUUUGGUUUAAACACACGCAACUAUAACGGUGAACGUACUCUUAUUACGAGCUUGAAGCUGAGCCACCUGCUGCACCAGUUCCUCGAGUCUCUGUUGAUCCUCGGUGUGCAAGGAAAGUUCCUCUCUCAUGGCUUCGAGCAGAUGAUGAGCCUCGUUCGCUCGGCUCACCGCGUGGCGUUCACUUUCGCGCGCAGCGUCUGUUUCCCUCCUGGCCUCCUGCAGAUCGUUCUCGAGCCGCGUCUUAUCUGUCCGCGCUCUCUCUAGCUGUUCGCGAACUCGCGCGAUCUCGUCUCGUAGACUAGAGCUGUCCAGCUCCACCGCUUGCAGCUUGAUCGCAUAGUUCUCUAGCUGUAACUGGCGCUCGCGUUCCAAACGACACGCCCAUUCUCGAUGCCUUCGUUGCUCAGCCUGUGAAAGAUUAAGAAAAAAGUACUGCAAAUAUUUUCUUAACUUAAAUUUUGUUAACUUAAGUUAAAACUGCCAACGCAUGGAAUUCGAAACAGAGUCUCAUUUGCGUGAAAUUUUUCCAAGUCGUAGUCGCAAUUAGUCUUGUUACAGCACCUUUCACUUUUUCAGACUCUCGACUGGAGCGUGGAUUAUAAAACAAUCUGUGACUUGUAAAUCUCUUUCUGUAAACACGAUUUUGUGUUUAAAGUCAACGCGACGGAAAGAGAUUUAUCCUGUUAUCUUAUCCCGGUUUUUCACCGCUAUCUUUAUUCGCAAUUAAUUGAACACGACGUUACAGGAUACGGGUGAGACACCUACUUGAAGCCUCUCCUCUGCUCUCGUUUCCGCAUCUUUGGCCGCUUCCUCGAGCAUCAAUAUGCGCGCCUGUAACGUCGCAUUCUCCUGCUUCGCUCGAGCAUACCUCUCCUCACCGACCGACUUAGUAUCCACCAAAGCAUGCAUCUGCUCUUGGAUCAUUUGAACCUGCAGCAUACGAAGAAGAGAAGUUUAACGUUUCGUGAAACAUAGAAAUGAAAAAAGGA
Odontomachus brunneus is the source of this 3872-nucleotide long non-coding RNA. RefSeq lists it as uncharacterized. The record is from RefSeq and is a predicted model, not a curated record. The transcript is spliced from 3 exons. NCBI's taxonomy places the organism in Eukaryota, Metazoa, Arthropoda, Insecta, Hymenoptera, Formicidae.